This 481-nucleotide ribosomal RNA is filed under the name uncultured bacterium. RNAcentral's name for it is "partial 16S ribosomal RNA". It matches the Rfam family "Bacterial small subunit ribosomal RNA", at positions 28 to 507 of the family's 1533-position model. The record is from RNAcentral.
GAUGAACGCUGGCGGCGUGCUUAACACAUGCAAGUCGAACGAAGCACUUUAUUUGAUUUCCUUCGGGACUGAUUAUUUUGUGACUGAGUGGCGGACGGGUGAGUAACGCGUGGGUAACCUGCCUUGCACAGGGGGAUAACAGUUGGAAACGGCUGCUAAUACCGCAUAAGCGCACAGCAUCGCAUGAUGCAGUGUGAAAAACUCCGGUGGUAUAAGAUGGACCCGCGUUGGAUUAGCUAGUUGGUGAGGUAACGGCCCACCAAGGCGACGAUCCAUAGCCGACCUGAGAGGGUGACCGGCCACAUUGGGACUGAGACACGGCCCAAACUCCUACGGGAGGCAGCAGUGGGGAAUAUUGCACAAUGGGCGAAAGCCUGAUGCAGCGACGCCGCGUGAGCGAAGAAGUAUUUCGGUAUGUAAAGCUCUAUCAGCAGGGAAGAUAAUGACGGUACCUGACUAAGAAGCACCAGCUAAAUACGUG